UCGCGGUUGUAACAUUCAUCAAUUAGAUACACUUACUACAGUGUAUAAUCUAUGCUUACUACACUUAUGGCUGCGCAUACGCAAUGAAGUAGGAAACCUACGCAUACGUCAUUUACGCGCUAAAAUGACGUCUGUGGUCUGGUUGUCGUGGUAACAGUUUGAGUUCAGUUUUGUACUUUUUAAGGCAUAUCAUGACACCGUGACGGCGAGUGGUCACCAUUGGUCAUGGAAGUCAGAAAACCAGGACACAGCCAAGCUUAAAACUGCUGUCUGCCGUGAAGUACUCUCUUCAAUUCUUGUUAAUAUUAGAUUAAACUGUGAUUCAUCUUAGAUAUAUUACGAUGAAUCAGGCAUCGUAUUAAAAUGACAUGCAUCGAUGGAGCGGAAAUGAUACAUACAAAUUUGAGUUUACUUUUACGCGAUCGAGAACGUUAAAAAACUCGCACUAAGCACACAGAACAAGGAUACCUAUUUUUACUUACAUCAGCAUGCGGCACGGGAGGCCAGUAACUGCGUUACGCGAGUUACAAUCCACGUAUGAAGUACAGUUGCGUACGAAAUCUGUAAACUAAAUUAUUUUAUUUGAGAAAAAAAGGCUUCGAAAAAUAAUCUUUUACACAUUAAAACAAUUUAGACACCUAUGAAAAAAAAUAUAAAAAAGGUUUUGGUUUGGGC
Molecule: long non-coding RNA, 675 nt
Organism: Bombyx mori (domestic silkworm)
Lineage: Eukaryota; Metazoa; Arthropoda; Insecta; Lepidoptera; Bombycidae
Exons: 3
Source: RefSeq, a predicted model, not a curated record